Molecule: long non-coding RNA, 211 nt
Filed under: Lathyrus oleraceus (garden pea)
Lineage: Eukaryota; Viridiplantae; Streptophyta; Magnoliopsida; Fabales; Fabaceae
Description: Pisum sativum (pea) long non-coding RNA (PSAT_LNC009259)
Source: RNAcentral
ACCAAGAUGUAGAGGAGUUGGAAGAUGCGCUCGCCAAGAUGAAGCAAGAGAAGGAUAUGUGGGAAGAAUGUUUCCAUGCUUUGAGCAGAAAGCAUGAGGAGUUGCAGCUUGAGUAUAAGGAUAAAGAUGCACUAAUUGAGCUACUUAAAAACCGAGUAACGAAGAGACAGAGAGAACCGGAGGUUUCAUCUUCCUCUAGUAUGCCUCAGCC